RNAcentral lists this ribosomal RNA (392 nucleotides) under uncultured bacterium. RNAcentral's name for it is "partial 16S ribosomal RNA". It matches the Rfam family "Bacterial small subunit ribosomal RNA", at positions 523 to 918 of the family's 1533-position model. The record is from RNAcentral.
AUACGGAGGAUCCGAGCGUUAUCCGGAUUUAUUGGGUUUAAAGGGUGCGCAGGCGACCAUUUAAGUCAGCGGUUAAAUCGUGGGGCUCAACCCCAUUCUGCCGUUGAUACUGGGUGGCUUGAUUGCGGUCGAGGUUGGCGGAAUUCGUUGUGUAGCGGUGAAAUGCAUAGAUAUGACGAAGAACACCGAUUGCGUAGGCAGCUGACCAGACCGCAAAUGACGCUCAUGCACGAAAGUGCGGGGAUCGAACAGGAUUAGAUACCCUGGUAGUCCGCACAGUAAACGAUGAAUACUUGUUUUCGGCGAUAUAAUGUCGGAGGCAAAGCGAAAGCGAUAAGUAUUCCACCUGGGGAGUACGCCGGCAACGGUGAAACUCAAAGGAAUUGACGGGG